RNAcentral lists this non-coding RNA (45 nucleotides) under Schistosoma mansoni. The record is from RNAcentral. Lineage: Eukaryota; Metazoa; Platyhelminthes; Trematoda; Strigeidida; Schistosomatidae.
AUCCAGCUGACGAGUCCCAACUAAGACGAAAUGCACGUCAUAGAU